This 197-nucleotide ribosomal RNA is filed under the name uncultured bacterium. Its description in RNAcentral is "partial 16S ribosomal RNA". It matches the Rfam family "Bacterial small subunit ribosomal RNA", at positions 328 to 539 of the family's 1533-position model. The record is from RNAcentral.
ACGCUCGACACCUACGGGAGGAGCAGUGGGGAAUAUUGCACAAUGGGGGAAACCCUGAUGCAGCGACGCCGCGUGAAGGAAGAAGUAUCUCGGUAUGUAAACUUCUAUCAGCAGGGAAGAAAGUGACGGUACCUGACUAAGAAGCCCCGGCUAACUACGUGCCAGCAGCCGCGGUAAUCUGAGCGGGCUGGCAAGGC